AUUGAACGCUGGCGGCAGGCCUAACACAUGCAAGUCGAGCGGCAGCGGGAAGUAGCUUGCUACUUUGCCGGCGAGCGGCGGACGGGUGAGUAAUGUCUGGGAAACUGCCUGAUGGAGGGGGAUAACUACUGGAAACGGUAGCUAAUACCGCAUAACGUCGCAAGACCAAAGAGGGGGACCUUCGGGCCUCUUGCCAUCAGAUGUGCCCAGAUGGGAUUAGCUAGUAGGUGGGGUAACGGCUCACCUAGGCGACGAUCCCUAGCUGGUCUGAGAGGAUGACCAGCCACACUGGAACUGAGACACGGUCCAGACUCCUACGGGAGGCAGCAGUGGGGAAUAUUGCACAAUGGGCGCAAGCCUGAUGCAGCCAUGCCGCGUGUAUGAAGAAGGCCUUCGGGUUGUAAAGUACUUUCAGCGGGGAGGAAGGUGUUGAGG
Molecule: ribosomal RNA, 435 nt
Filed under: uncultured bacterium
Lineage: Bacteria
Description: bacterial SSU rRNA
Rfam family: Bacterial small subunit ribosomal RNA
Source: RNAcentral